AGAGUUUGAUCCUGGCUCAGAGCGAACGCUGGCGGCAGGCCUAACACAUGCAAGUCGAACGAACUCUUCGGAGUUAGUGGCGGACGGGUGAGUAACACGUGGGAACGUGCCUUUUGGUUCGGAAUAACUCAGGGAAACUUGUGCUAAUACCGAAUGUGCCCUUCGGGGGAAAGAUUUAUCGCCAUUAGAGCGGCCCGCGUCUGAUUAGCUAGUUGGUGGGGUAAAGGCCCACCAAGGCUACGAUCAGUAGCUGGUCUGAGAGGAUGACCAGCCACAUUGGGACUGAGACACGGCCCAAACUCCUACGGGAGGCAGCAGUGGGGAAUCUUGCGCAAUGGGCGAAAGCCUGACGCAGCCAUGCCGCGUGUAUGAUGAAGGUCUUAGGAUUGUAAAAUACUUUCACCGGUGAAGAUAAUGACUGUAGCCGGAGAAGAAGCCCCGGCUAACUUCGUGCCAGCAGCCGCGGUAAUACGAAGGGGGCUAGCGUUGCUCGGAAUUACUGGGCGUAAAGGGAGCGUAGGCGGACAUUUAAGUCAGAGGUGAAAUCCCGGAGCUUAACUUCGGAACUGCCUUUGAUACUGGGUGUCUUGAGUGUGAGAGAGGUAUGUGGAACUCCGAGUGUAGAGGUGAAAUUCGUAGAUAUUCGGAAGAACACCAGUGGCGAAGGCGACAUACUGGCUCAUUACUGACGCUGAGGCUCGAAAGCGUGGGGAGCAAACAGGAUUAGAUACCCUGGUAG
Molecule: ribosomal RNA, 739 nt
Filed under: uncultured bacterium
Lineage: Bacteria
Description: bacterial SSU rRNA
Rfam family: Bacterial small subunit ribosomal RNA
Source: RNAcentral